RNAcentral lists this ribosomal RNA (1341 nucleotides) under uncultured bacterium. RNAcentral's name for it is "partial 16S ribosomal RNA". It matches the Rfam family "Bacterial small subunit ribosomal RNA", at positions 28 to 1381 of the family's 1533-position model. The record is from RNAcentral.
GACGAACUUUGGCGGCGUGCUUAACACAUGCAAGUCGAACGGUAAGGCUCCAGCUUGCUGGGGUACACGAGUGGCGAACGGGUGAGUAACACGUGGGUGACCUGCCCUGCACUUCGGGAUAAGCCUGGGAAACUGGGUCUAAUACCGGAUAGGACCGCACCGUGAGGGUGUGGUGGAAAGUUUUUUCGGUGUGGGAUGGGCCCGCGGCCUAUCAGCUUGUUGGUGGGGUAAUGGCCUACCAAGGCGGCGACGGGUAGCCGGCCUGAGAGGGUGGACGGCCACAUUGGGACUGAGACACGGCCCAGACUCCUACGGGAGGCAGCAGUGGGGAAUAUUGCACAAUGGGCGGAAGCCUGAUGCAGCGACGCCGCGUGGGGGAUGACGGCCUUCGGGUUGUAAACUCCUUUCACCAUCGACGAAGGGUUUCUGACGGUAGAUGGAGAAGAAGCACCGGCUAACUACGUGCCAGCAGCCGCGGUAAUACGUAGGGUGCGAGCGUUGUCCGGAAUUACUGGGCGUAAAGAGCUCGUAGGUGGUUUGUCGCGUCGUCUGUGAAAUUCCGGGGCUUAACUCCGGGCGUGCAGGCGAUACGGGCAUAACUUGAGUACUGUAGGGGGGACUGGAAUUCCUGGUGUAGCGGUGAAAUGCGCAGAUAUCAGGAGGAACACCGGUGGCGAAGGCGGGUCUCUGGGCAGUAACUGACGCUGAGGAGCGAAAGCAUGGGGAGCGAACAGGAUUAGAUACCCUGGUAGUCCAUGCCGUAAACGGUGGGCGCUAAGUGUGGGUUUCCUUCCACGGGAUCCGUGCCGUAGCUAACGCAUUAAGCGCCCCGCCUGGGGAGUACGGCCGCAAGGCUAAAACUCAAAGGAAUUGACGGGGGCCCGCACAAGCGGCGGAGCAUGUGGAUUAAUUCGAUGCAACGCGAAGAACCUUACCUGGGCUUGACAUAUACAGGAUCGCGCCAGAGAUGGUGUUUCCCUUGUGGCUUGUAUACAGGUGGUGCAUGGUUGUCGUCAGCUCGUGUCGUGAGAUGUUGGGUUAAGUCCCGCAACGAGCGCAACCCUUGUCUUAUGUUGCCAGCACGUUGUGGUGGGGACUCGUAAGAAACUGCCGGGGUUAACUCGGAGGAAGGUGGGGAUGACGUCAAAUCAUCAUGCCCCUUAUGUCCAGGGCUUCACACAUGCUACAAUGGUCGGUACAGUGGGUUGCCAGUCCGUGAGGGCGAGCUAAUCCCGCAAAGCCGGUCUCAGUUCGGAUCGGGGUCUGCAACUCGACCCCGUGAAGUCGGAGUCGCUAGUAAUCGCAGAUCAGCAACGCUGCGGUGAAUACGUUCCCGGGCCU